AGCGCCAUUUUCAGAGGUAUAAGCAUGCUGAUUGUCAUAGCUCUUUGAAUGGUACUGC
This 58-nucleotide microRNA precursor is filed under the name Lepisosteus oculatus (spotted gar). Its description in RNAcentral is "Loc-Mir-458_pre stem-loop". The record is from RNAcentral. Lineage: Eukaryota; Metazoa; Chordata; Actinopteri; Semionotiformes; Lepisosteidae.